GUCCACGCCCUAAACGAUGUCAACUAGUUGUUGGUAGGGUUAAACCUAUUAGUAACGUAGCUAACGCGUGAAGUUGACCGCCUGGGGAGUACGGUCGCAAGAUUAAAACUCAAAGGAAUUGACGGGGACCCGGCACAAGCGGUGGAUGAUGUGGAUUAAAUUCGAUGCAACGCGAAAAACCUUAACCUACCCUUGACAUGUCAGGAAUCCCGUAGAGAUAUGGGAGUGCCGCAAGGAACCUGAACACAGGUGCUGCAUGGCUGUCGU
This 267-nucleotide ribosomal RNA is filed under the name uncultured bacterium. Its description in RNAcentral is "partial 16S ribosomal RNA". It matches the Rfam family "Bacterial small subunit ribosomal RNA", at positions 793 to 1055 of the family's 1533-position model. The record is from RNAcentral.